CCGAGUUAGGGUUGCCUUUUAGGUGCCCGACCUCCCAACCCUUUGUCUAUGAUACCACAGUUGCUUCGGCGGACCGAGGGGUCAUACCCUCGCCGGGUCCUUUGGGGCCUGGAGAGCGUCCGUCGAUGGCCUCAACUUAACACUUGAACCCAAAACCUGUCGUCUGAAAACAUUUUAUGAUUUAUAAUCAAAAACA
RNAcentral lists this unclassified non-coding RNA (196 nucleotides) under uncultured fungus. RNAcentral describes it as "sequence contains ITS1, 5.8S rRNA gene". The record is from RNAcentral. Lineage: Eukaryota; Fungi.